AAGUUCACCAACUAAACACACAGUCACACGGGCAGCAGAGCUGACAGAUGCAUCCCUCCUCUGUCCACGCAAAGAAAUCCCGCAAAAAAUAAUGCAACAAAAUUAUCACAAAAAUUUCCCUCCCCUUCCCCUCUUCCUCUUGAAAUCCCCCAUAUAUAUAGCCUUGUCUAUAUACCUAUAUAAUACUGCCACCAAUAAACGUCGAGAAGCAAACAGAAAGAACAAAGAAGAAAGCACAUGAUUUGAGAAGCAGAAGAAACGAAAUCACUCAUUUUUCAAAAGAACAAAGAAGAAAUUACUGAAAAGAAGAAGAAGAAGAUUAUUGAGAUGGCAGCCGUGGCUUUUUCGCCUUGGAUGAUUGGAGUUCAAGAUCGUUUUCCUUUAGACCCGAAAUGCCCUUUUUUUCCUUAUAAUUCCCUGUCUCAUCCUCCUCUCCGGUGCUCCUCCCCUCAACAGUUUCGACAAAUUAUCCGGGCCACCUCUGCUGUUGCUCUUGAACCAGAAGCACAAAUUGAAUCAAAGGAGGGCUCAAAAAUUGACUUGUUUGCCUGCCCAAUUUGCUAUGAUCCAUUAGUAAGAAAAGGUCCUUCGGGAUUUAACCUGCCUGCAAUUUAUAGAUCUGGUUUUAAAUGUAGAACGUGUAACAAGACGUAUUCAAGCAAAAAUAUCUAUCUCGAUCUUACAGUUACUGCUGGUUCAAAGGAUUACAAUGAAUUUAAACCAGCUGGAACUGAGCUAUUUAGGAGCCCUCUUGUUUCCUUCUUGUAUGAGAGAGGCUGGCGUCAAAAUUUUAAUCGUAGUGGUUUUCCUGGGCCUGAUGAUGAGUUCAAGAUGGCGCAGGAGUAUUUUCAACCUGUAGAAGGCGGUGUUCUUGUAGAUGUUAGCUGUGGAAGUGGCUUGUUUUCCAGGAAGUUUGCCAAAUCGGGGACCUAUUCAAAAGUUGUUGCUCUUGACUUUUCAGAAAACAUGCUUCUCCAGUGUUAUGAUUUUAUCAAGAGUGACGAUUCUAUGUUAAACUCCAAUCUUGCUCUCGUAAGGGCAGAUAUCUCCCGACUCCCCUUUCCUUCUGGUUCAGUUGAUGGCGUUCAUGCUGGUGCAGCCUUGCAUUGUUGGCCAUCUCCUUCUAAUGCUGUUGCUGAAAUCAAUCGUAUCUUGCGAAGUGGUGGUGUUUUUGUGGGAACUACUUUUCUUCGUGUCAGUUCAUCAACUCCUGCAUUUUUGAGGCCUCUCAGACAGGCUGGGCGGAACUACAACUAUUUGACUGAGGAGGAGAUCGAGGACGUGUGCACAUCAUGUGGUCUUAUAAACUAUACCAACAAAGUCCAACAAUCGUUCAUCAUGUUUUCUGCGCAGAAACCUUGAAAAUUGGCUUAAUUUGAGUUGGAAAUUAGAUGUUUGCUUCUCAAAUCUUUUCCUUUGCCUGGGGUUAUAAUCGAAGUCGAUUCUUUCCGGAGACCUUUGUGCAGAGCGUACGUCAUUCCAAAUUUCCAGGCUUUGACCAAUGCAGAGCAAGUGGAAAUUUCACACAGUAUCAUGAAUAAUUUGCUAGAUAUGUGUUUAACAUUCUGGCGUUCGCUGUCUUCUCUGGCACCCCGUUGGGCUCCGAUGUUUAUUCCAUGGCAUUGACUAUGACAACUGCUUUUAGAUUAAAUGUGGUAAUAGUUGUCAACAUCUCACGGUGCUACUUGUCGAAUUUUCCUUGAACAAGUGAAUGAUGGGUAAUUCGAAGUCAAGGAUGUCUUAAACACGUAGAAUUGCAGGAAUAAGGGAUCAAAGCAUAAUAUUGUGUGCUAGUCAGUGGAUGGUGUUUUCUGUUUUAGCAGAGUAUGUCAAGAAACUACUCUAAAUAUUCUUUUGUAAGGAAAAUAGGAAUGUGACAGAUCUGAAGGAUUUCUAUCCCUUCAUGUUUAGACAC
Coffea eugenioides is the source of this 1915-nucleotide RNA transcript. RefSeq lists it as uncharacterized. The record is from RefSeq and is a predicted model, not a curated record. The transcript is spliced from 9 exons. NCBI's taxonomy places the organism in Eukaryota, Viridiplantae, Streptophyta, Magnoliopsida, Gentianales, Rubiaceae.